RNAcentral lists this ribosomal RNA (309 nucleotides) under uncultured bacterium. RNAcentral describes it as "partial 16S ribosomal RNA". It matches the Rfam family "Bacterial small subunit ribosomal RNA", at positions 504 to 809 of the family's 1533-position model. The record is from RNAcentral.
AGAGACAGCAGCGCCACGGGAAUACAGAGGGUGCGAGCGUUAAUCGGAUUUACUGGGCGUAAAGCGUGCGUAGGCGGCUUUUUAAGUCGGAUGUGAAAUCCCUGAGCUUAACUUAGGAAUUGCAUUCGAUACUGGGAAGCUAGAGUAUGGGAGAGGAUGGUAGAAUUCCAGGUGUAGCGGUGAAAUGCGUAGAGAUCUGGAGGAAUACCGAUGGCGAAGGCAGCCAUCUGGCCUAAUACUGACGCUGAGGUACGAAAGCAUGGGGAGCAAACAGGAUUAGAUACCCGUGUAGUCCCUGUCUCUUUACAC